This 1613-nucleotide non-coding RNA is filed under the name Pan troglodytes (chimpanzee). The record is from RNAcentral. Lineage: Eukaryota; Metazoa; Chordata; Mammalia; Primates; Hominidae.
CCUCAGCGAUGCUUCAGGCACGUACUAGGGCAGCCUGGGCAGGGCUGGUCACUGUGGUCUCAUGAGGUGUGAACUUGACCCCGGGCUUCUUUCCUGGGAUGCCGGCUAAGGACACAAGUUCCGUGUUUGCCCUGGCUUGUAGCCCGGCGGGGCCUCCGUCAUCCCCUGGGGAAUGCCUCGGCCUGCAAGACCGCAUACCGCAUUGGAACAGGGAAACCACCUACUUCAGCACCUCCCUCAGCAAGGUGGCAGGUCCCAACAAGCCUUGCACCAUGAGGAAGUGGCAGUGGCAUUCGGGAUAUGGCUCCCUGGCCAGCUUGUGAAGUUCAAGGGGCUUGUUACUUCUUAGAGCUCACAGUCCCUCCCGGGUCCAGCACACCUGAGGGCUGACCUCCCUCUUGAUUAGUGCAGGGGAAAAGCACUUUAAAAACCUGUGUCAUGCGUAACUUGCACAUCUUCUGAUUCUGACCUGAAACUGCAUCCCAGGUCGGCACAGACGCAACGCAGUCUCCUCCCACCUCCGACAGUGCGGUGUCCUGAAUGGAGAACCCCAGCACCCAGAAGCAUCCACUGAAGGACGUACUUCUUUGAUAGUGCCUCCACGCAUGCAGAUGACGUGGAGAGCUCCGCGCGGCACAGGGCAGGAAGCUGGUGUGCACUCUCAUGGAUCCGAAGCCAACGCACGCCUCUCAACUGAGGACUCUGCCCCUCUGGCAUUCCUCCAGCCACCAGCCCUGGGGGCCAGGAGCCACCGAGUGGGUCACACAGGCUUAGAGGGCAACGAGGGCAGGAGCUCACCCUGGCGGUCCCCAUGCAGACAAGAGGGUCACUGGCUUCCUUGCUUUGCUCUUCCUGGACAUCUUCCUCGACAUUCAUCUUUCCAUCCUACCAAGAGCGUGGAAACCACAGGGCAUGAGGACAGGCGGAGACAACGCUGGACCAUCUCACAGCCACAUCAAGAGGCUGCCCACAUCAGUGCUUUCUACGUGGCUGCAAGGAACACAAACCUGUGUGCUCCAUUUGCCCACUGGCACUAGGCCUCCUGCCCACCACCCGCUUCUAGGCUAUUCGAGCCGCAGGAGCUACAGGCUGCUAGAGAACCCUGCGGCAGGACGCUGGGCGCGGUUCAGCUUUUGCCAGGGAGCAGCAUAGGACUGGGAUUUGGAAGGUGUACAGUGGCUGUGGGCUUUAGCACGAGGAGUGUCUACAGCACCUUCUGCUCCUCCAGAAAUAAGGAAACUGAGGCACAGCUAUAAAGCAAUGUCCUGAGACUGGCACCUGGGGGCUGCCCUCUUCCUGCCAGACUGAGUGCCUCAGAGCGCUACAACUGACCAGAGGGGAGAAGCCAACUGAGACAGCCUGUUUACUUCUAAGGGACUAACCCACAUGAAAAGACCCAGGCCUCCUGCGCCGGCCUCAGGGCCCCUACACGUGUUAUCAAGCUUGGAGUCAACUGGACGACCUGCUGUCCCUCAGACAGCUGUGAGUGCCACACUUCACCAUACCGGGACAAUGUGCCUUUGCAUGUGUGUCCUCUGCCCACCCUGGGCCCAUGAACAGCUCACUCCCCUUGCAAAACUUGACUGUAACUCCCUCUAGAAGAAUUUUUGGAC